This 30-nucleotide small RNA is filed under the name Bombyx mori (domestic silkworm). RNAcentral's name for it is "ovarian small RNA-21371". The record is from RNAcentral. Lineage: Eukaryota; Metazoa; Arthropoda; Insecta; Lepidoptera; Bombycidae.
UACUCCAUGUGAGGCCGCACCUGCGCCUUA